RNAcentral lists this transfer RNA (72 nucleotides) under Corchorus olitorius. It matches the Rfam family "tRNA". From Rfam's summary of the family: Transfer RNA (tRNA) molecules are approximately 80 nucleotides in length. Their secondary structure includes four short double-helical elements and three loops (D, anti-codon, and T loops). Lineage: Eukaryota; Viridiplantae; Streptophyta; Magnoliopsida; Malvales; Malvaceae. The record is from Rfam by way of RNAcentral.
GUCCUGUUAGUUAAAUGGAUAUAACGACUUCCUCCUAAGAAGUAGUUGCAGGUUCGAUUCCUGCACGGGACG